UCCCUCUCAGGUUCGCACCUGGAGAAUUUCCAGUACUCUACCAGUUUUCGACUACGGGAGGGAGAGACAAGCAGAGGCCUACCCAUUCCAUUCCUAGCUUGGGCAGUAGCUAGUGAAUGGAAGGCAAUCAGCUACAUAU
Ornithorhynchus anatinus (platypus) is the source of this 139-nucleotide small nucleolar RNA. The record is from RefSeq and is a predicted model, not a curated record. NCBI's taxonomy places the organism in Eukaryota, Metazoa, Chordata, Mammalia, Monotremata, Ornithorhynchidae.